Molecule: ribosomal RNA, 497 nt
Filed under: uncultured bacterium
Lineage: Bacteria
Description: partial 16S ribosomal RNA
Rfam family: Bacterial small subunit ribosomal RNA
Source: RNAcentral
GAUGAACGCUGGCGGCGUGCCUAAUACAUGCAAGUCGAGCGAACAGACGAGGAGCUUGCUCCUCUGACGUUAGCGGCGGACGGGUGAGUAACACGUGGAUAACCUACCUAUAAGACUGGGAUAACUUCGGGAAACCGGAGCUAAUACCGGAUAAUAUAUUGAACCGCAUGGUUCAAUAGUGAAAGACGGUUUUGCUGUCACUUAUAGAUGGAUCCGCGCCGCAUUAGCUAGUUGGUAAGGUAACGGCUUACCAAGGCAACGAUGCGUAGCCGACCUGAGAGGGUGAUCGGCCACACUGGAGCUGCGACACGGUCCAGACUCCUACGGGAGGCAGCAGUAGGGAAUCUUCCGCAAUGGGCGAAAGCCUGACGGAGCAACGCCGCGUGAGUGAUGAAGGUCUUCGGAUCGUAAAACUCUGUUAUUAGGGAAGAACAAAUGUGUAAGUAACUAUGCACGUCUUGACGGUACCUAAUCAGAAAGCCACGGCUAACUACGUG